GUUGAUAUUUUGUUUCAAAAUUGAUAUUUUGUGUGAAUAGUUGUUUGGUUAGUGGUGGAUUCUCCUUUAUAUAAUUGUGACUUUGGUAAGUAUUUUGAAAGAGAGAAAAAUAAAGGAAACAAGCAGACAGACAGAGAGUUUGAGGAGAUGCCGAGAGAAGGCAGAGAGGGCCGAGAAUUGGUGAAUUGAUAAUUAUGUGAUUAAUUCUUUUACAGAUUUCAGGUACCGAGGAUGAACUUGAAUUGCUAGUAGUGGGCUUAGGUGGAAGAGUUGGUGUAGAAGAUUAUUUUUUUUUUUUACAGAUGUUGUAUUAUUUAUUUGAGGAAAUUGAUUCUGUAUCAAUAAAAUGAUAUUUCUUUUUUUGAGA
Molecule: long non-coding RNA, 367 nt
Organism: Cornus florida
Lineage: Eukaryota; Viridiplantae; Streptophyta; Magnoliopsida; Cornales; Cornaceae
Exons: 2
Source: RefSeq, a predicted model, not a curated record